This 253-nucleotide ribosomal RNA is filed under the name uncultured bacterium. RNAcentral describes it as "partial 16S ribosomal RNA". It matches the Rfam family "Bacterial small subunit ribosomal RNA", at positions 524 to 776 of the family's 1533-position model. The record is from RNAcentral.
UACGAAGGGUGCAAACGUUGUUCGGAAUUACUGGGCGUAAAGGGCUUGUAGGUGGCCAACUAAGUCAGACGUGAAAUCCCUCGGCUUAACCGGGGAACUGCGUCUGAUACUGGAUGGCUGGAGUGUGGGAGAGGGAUGCGGAAUUCCAGGUGUAGCGGUGAAAUGCGUAGAUAUCUGGAGGAACACCGGUGGCGAAGGCGGCAUCCUGGACCAUUACUGACACUGAAAAGCGAAAGCCAGGGGAGCAAACGGG